Molecule: small nuclear RNA, 142 nt
Filed under: Fukomys damarensis (Damara mole-rat)
Lineage: Eukaryota; Metazoa; Chordata; Mammalia; Rodentia; Bathyergidae
Description: U2 spliceosomal RNA
Rfam family: U2 spliceosomal RNA
About the family: U2 is a small nuclear RNA (snRNA) component of the spliceosome (involved in pre-mRNA splicing). Complementary binding between U2 snRNA (in an area lying towards the 5' end but 3' to hairpin I) and the branchpoint sequence (BPS) of the intron results the bulging out of an unpaired adenosine, on the BPS, which initiates a nucleophilic attack at the intronic 5' splice site, thus starting the first of two transesterification reactions that mediate splicing.
Source: Rfam by way of RNAcentral
AUCGCUUCUCGGCCUUUUGGCUAAGAUCAAGUGUAGAAUUACUGAAGAAACACUUGGAUAAAAUAAAGACAUUUUUAGAGCAGAUAUACUAUUAUUAUUAUUAUUAUUUUGUGUUUUUUUGGUACUGGGGAUCAAACUCUGG